CCCAGUCCCAGGCCCUAUAUUUCCAUCCCUAUUCAACAAUUCCAAUUGCUCCCAUCUCUCCGAAACCAGUAUUACCGAUUUCAGAAUAAAGACGUUGCCUUUUUUGCCUUUGAAAUCUCUUUUUCUUGAAGCUUUGUUUCCGCCCCCAUGACUCCUUACGACCGAAGAUACGGCGACCCCCAAUCUUACCGUCAGCGUAGCAGUGAUUUUAUCGGCCAACCACCUCCGGUAGGCCCACCACCUAUGGGUCCGGGAAUGGUCCUAUCUGCUGGUGCUACCUCUUAUCCCCGUGGUGGACACAUUUCUUACGGUGGCCCUCCAACGGUGCAGCCGCCGACUUUUCAGGGAAGAGUGCCCGUAGCCAUCCCAGAUCAAGGGAAUUUCGAUACGUACUCGAGCAUCCAACCACCUGCAGGAAGAUUCGAGAUGGGCCGCGGUGGGGGUAUAGGUAAUGCUCAUGUUGGAGACAGGAGAAGUAAUGGGGCAAGAGGUCGUGAAGCUGCUCGUGGUGUUGGCGGCAGAGGUGGUGGUGGUCGUGGUGGCCGUGGUGAUGGCGGGAGGGGUUAUGGAGGGAGGCAAGGAGGGUGGUCUAGAGGAGAUUUAGAUCAUGUUUCGCUUUCGAGGCAAAAUUUUGGAAAUUUGGUUCCUUUUGAGAAGAACUUUUAUAUGGAGAGUGCUGCAGUUAGAGGAAUGACAGAGCAAGAAGCUAUGGUUUACCGUAGAACACGGGAAAUUACAGUUCAAGGACAUGAUGUUCCAAAACCGAUAAGGAUGUUCCAUGAAGCCAAUUUCCCUGAUUACUGCCUUGAGGUGAUUGCUAAAUUGGGUUUUGUUGAGCCUACGCCAAUCCAGGCUCAAGGGUGGCCUAUGGCUUUAAAGGGUAGGGAUCUAAUUGGUAUUGCUGAGACUGGUUCUGGUAAAACGCUGGCAUAUUUACUGCCAGCAUUGGUGCAUAUUAAUGCGCAGCCACGAUUAGUGUAUGGUGAGGGUCCUAUUGUAUUAAUAUUAGCACCUACAAGAGAGUUGGCUGUUCAAAUUCAAGAAGAAGCUGCAAAGUUUGCAACUCGUGCUAAUAUUAGAAGUACUUGUAUCUAUGGUGGUGCCCCCAAAGGACCACAAAUUCGGGAUCUUAAAAGAGGUGUUGAGAUUGUAAUUGCUACACCUGGUCGACUGAUAGAUAUGCUAGAAGCUCAACACACAAACUUGCAAAGAGUGACUUACCUUGUUCUGGAUGAGGCUGAUCGAAUGUUGGAUAUGGGGUUUGAGCCUCAAAUAAGAAAAAUUGUUGCUCAGAUUCGGCCUGAUAGACAAACGUUGUAUUGGAGUGCAACAUGGCCAAGGGAGGUUGAAUCUUUAGCGAGGCAGUUUUUACGCAACUCAUAUAAGGUUAUCAUUGGAUCACCUGAUCUGAAAGCAAACCAGUCUAUUAACCAAGUUGUUGAAGUCAUAACAGAGCUGGAAAAGUACAACAGGCUAAUCAAAUUGCUGAAGGAAGAGAUGGAUGGGAAUCGAAUACUCAUAUUCAUGGAGACAAAGAAGGGAUGUGACCAAGUUACUAGGCAGCUGAGAAUGGAUGGAUGGCCUGCCCUGUCUAUCCAUGGUGAUAAAAACCAGACUGAAAGGGAUUGGGUCCUGGCUGAAUUUAAGAGUGGCAGAAGUCCUAUAAUGACUGCCACUGAUGUGGCUGCACGAGGUCUUGGUAGGAUCACUGUGUGUUAGGAGUCUUAGUAUAUUCAUUUAGGUCUUGAAUCGUGAAGAUAAGCGAGUCUGCCGGCUGCUUUCCAGUUUCCUGAUGGCUUGGGUGCAAAGGAGGUGUCAUGAUGUGCAUUACAAAUCUGUGAACAUAUAUUUUCUAACUGAUAAGCAUGAUCCUCCACUUCAAGGGAAUUAUGAGUUGGAUUGAGAGGCAUACUGGUUUCUCAUAUUCACUAGAUGUCCCCUAAGAUAAUUGGCUACUAUCUUAUGCUUACAGCUCAUGUUACAGGGACACAAGGAGCAUAGUUUGCUUAGACAGCUAAGGUGGUGAUCUAUAAUUUGGAGGGUUGUACCAUGCAAAACUCAUGCUUCUCUGUUCCUUUGUUUGAAAAGUUAGUUUUAUUUAUUUUAGGUUGGGGGAAAAGAAAAAUUAGAAAGCUCUCUUAUGUGUAGUUGUAUUUACCUGCUUGAAUUGCCUGAAUUGGCAUGGCCCCUUUAGUCAAGUGUCUAAGUAACAUGGUUGAACUUGAAGUUAGUUUUGCCCAUCCACAGUUAUGGAGCUGGUUUAUUGUGGUGGCCUGGUUGACUCACAUUUGCUUAGAUUCCUUGAUUGGAUUCGGAAAUGGUGGUGGUAAAGCAGCUCCUUAUCCCUGCAAGGUUAAGAUGUGAAGGACAUAAAGUGUGUGAUCAACUAUGAUUUUCCUUCCAGCCUGGAGGAUUAUGUACAUAGGAUUGGUAGAACUGGUCGUGCAGGGGCUAAGGG
Molecule: RNA transcript, 2458 nt
Organism: Durio zibethinus
Lineage: Eukaryota; Viridiplantae; Streptophyta; Magnoliopsida; Malvales; Malvaceae
Gene name: P-loop containing nucleoside triphosphate hydrolases superfamily protein
Source: RefSeq, a predicted model, not a curated record